Molecule: long non-coding RNA, 2276 nt
Organism: Sitophilus oryzae (rice weevil)
Lineage: Eukaryota; Metazoa; Arthropoda; Insecta; Coleoptera; Curculionidae
Exons: 4
Source: RefSeq, a predicted model, not a curated record
CACAGAUAACACAUAAUCCAGAUGGCUCCUUACGUGUUAAAAAUUGUCACCCCAAUUUCACUCCAAUUUGGAAAAAUAUUGGAGUGACGUUUGAAUAAUCUGAAAUUUUUAGAUUCCUUUUCUAACUUUUUUGGGAGGUUUUGCUUCUCUUGCACAGAUGUCGCUUGCACUUCAGUUGCGUGGUUGCCAAACGUUAUAUCGAAAUAUAUUUCAUUUCAUUAUGAAUAUAUAAAAUUAAAAAUUAUGUAAUUUAUAAACAUGAAAUAGAUAUGGAUGUUAGGUAAUACCGGAUGUUAAAUUAAUAUAUAAAUAUUUAACUUAAUACGUACAUUAUUAUUUUAUUAAUUUAUCGUCACACGUCAUUUACCAGUUGCCUAAUUACGAAAAGUUUCAUAUGAUAUUAACCUCAAAAAUGAUCUUUGAAAACAAACAACAACAAAUAACUCAAAGAAAUAACUACAUACUACAUAAUAAUAACUGAUAAUAAUGACUUUUAAUGGUAUAAAGGCUGAUGAAGUUUUAGACAACCAAUACAAGAUUCAGAACUCGGCAUCGCGAUAAACAAGUAAAAUUGUACAUUCAGGAACUCGUUUAAAUAUUAUAGGUUGAUUGAAGAAUAAUCUACAAUUGAUUAGAGCCUAUGACGAUGCGAAGAUAAUUAAUCACCUAACUUUAAGAAACCAGCCUAAAGAAGUUUACAUGCAUCUCAUCUAACCAUUAUAGGUACAUUUUAUCUUCUAGAUCAGUAGUGAUUUUUCAUAAUUUGAAUGAACUCACAGAUAGCAAUGGGGCACCGCACCGAAGCAGUAUUACAAAAUGUGAAAUAAAACUGUAGUACAUAUUGCUCUAUAAAAUUUAAUAGAAAUAAAUUUAUUUAUGAAAAUUAAUGAAGUUUUAUCUUUCCUAGGAAAAAAAUAACAAUUAUAUUUUGAACAAUUAAUUUAGAACAUUAGAGUUAAAAAAAUAUAUGUGUUAGAAAUUGUAACACAUAUUUUUUUAACUCUAUGUUAUUCUAACUUAGAAUAACAUAUUUUUAAUAAAAUUGCGCUUAUACUUUAUACUUUUUUGCUAUUAUAUCAAUAAGAACUAACGUAAGGAGCAAUUCAUUUAUACUAUAAACACACAUGCAUAUUUUUUGAUCUUUUUAAAACCAGUGAAUAAUGUUGAAAUAUGCUACACCUAUUAAUUCUUAUUAACUAACUUUAUAGCUAGACAGUUGAAAAUUUUACAGAUAAUGUAUCUAUGUUGCCGCUAUAAGAACAAAUACUAAAAACAGAAUUAAAUAAAUGUUUAUAAAUAAAAAAGUACUUUCACUAAACAUUAUCGUUUAAGUAAGAAUUUUACACAGAAUAUUCAAGUCCUCGAGUGGCCGUGUGGUUAAAGGCGUUAGGAUUUGAAGGCGUUGAGACGUAGUGAGGCAGGUUCGAAUCGUAGGCAAGGUGACUUUUUCUUAAUCUUUUUUUUUAUUUUUACAUAUUUUUACAUAUUUAUUUUUACUUAUUUAUUAUUGAUUAAUACAAUUUUUAGCAAUGUAUUUCUUCAUUUUUUUUAAAUUACUUACAAGCGCAUUCAAAAUUUCAGCUAAAUCGGAAAAAAGUUUACAAUAAUAUAAUGUCUGAUGUUGUAUAGAUAAUGUGUGAAUGGUACAUUCAAUGAUAAUGAACCCUUCGUGCGCGAGUCCGACUCGCACUUGGCCAAUUUUUUUUGUUAAUUGAAACGUUUAGAAUUUGAAUAUUCGUUCAAAAAUUUUUUUUUUAAUAAAUUUAUUUAUGAUAAACAAUUUAUUAAUGAAAAUAAUAUGACCGAAUUUCCUGGAAAGUUUUUCAAAUUUGUACAUAUGAAAACCUAGCUUUACCACUUAUCAUAGAAAAUCUCUAUUCCUUCCCUUAUCACGGAAUAAUAAAGGAACGAACCAUAUGCGACAAAGAUAGAAGAUUUAGAUAUGUCGUUACUGUCUUUUGUUUUUAACGGAUAUUUUAAAAGGCGGGUAAUUUACCUUUGACUGUCUUUGAUUAUAACUGUGUGUGAUUAGUGAUAAUAAAAUUAUUAUUAAAAUGUCUGGUAAUAAGUGCCAAUUUUAUAAUUGUGGGAUUUCUCGGAAAUCAGGUGUACAUAUGUUUAAGUUUCCUGCGUCAAGAGAUCCUAAUUUAUGUACAAAGUGGAUAGAAAAUUGUGGUGAGUUCAUUCAUAUAGAAUUUUUUUGCACAUUUUGUAUGUAAAAAUACGGCGUUAAGUUACCUUAGAAAUGGUGAUCGAUGGCUUUUACCAUAUACCGU